AAAAAAAAAAUCUCAUAACCAACAACCACAGUUCAGAGCAACUCUAUUUGAAAGGAAAGGAACUAGAAAUAUAAAAAUGAGCGGAAGCUAUACUAUUGACUAUGUCUCUUCUCUAUGUACGCCCGACCUUAACUAUGCUAACCUGCAUACUGGGCAUUUUAAAAACGAAUGGGCCAGGGGAAAACAUUUGAAAAUGUUAGAGUGAGUGGACAAAAAUGAAUUUAAUGAAAAAUAUUUAUGCUUUCCCAAUUUAAAUUUCCAUAGAAAUAUCCUGCAUGCGACAGCUCAAAAGCUCUCAACUCAACAAUUGGCAAUUACAUGACUAGCUCCGGCUAGUCUCCAAACUUAAUAAAAUAAAGCCUCUCAGGCUACACUAAUAUAUAUAUAUAUAUGUAUGUAUUUACACUCGUCAUACUCCUUGUACUAUGAAGGAAAAAGAAAAAUAGAAAUUCAUAUAAGGCUACUACACUUGCGUCUAUUGCUCACGUCACACCAUAAUGAAAUUUUACCUCAUUAUGGCGGAAAAGCACGAGUGUAUAUACGUGUGGACUCCCUAUAUGAAAACCUAUAUGAAUCAGAUAAGAAAGUAGUUUUCAUAUAGGGCUAUGACGCUUGUCAGGACCCACCCCGAAUUUCACCCUGAAACCGGAAGUAAAUCCUACGGGGACCACCUCCAAGGAAAGUUUACCGAAAAUUCGGCGUAACCUCCCUUGAAAAUGGACAACCCUUCCUAAUAAUACCUGCAAACACUUUUGAAAAUCCAAAUCCAACCUUAAACACCUGGAGCCUUCGUGCUCCCCAGAUCACAACAUCUCCCAAUUUAUUUACUAACUUUAACAAGAAAAUCUCAUAACCAACAGCCACAGUUCAGAGCAACUCUAUUUGAAAGGAAAGGAACUAGAAAUAUAAAAAUGAGCGGAAGCUAUACUAUUGACUAUGCCUCUUCUUCAUAUACAUCCGACCUCAACUAUGCUAACCUGCAAACUGGGCAUUUUUAAAACGAAUGGCCCAAGGGAAAAACAUUUGAAAACGUUAAAGAGAGUGGACAAAAAUAAGUUUAACAAAAACGAGCAGCAAAAAAUCUUUAUGUUUUCCUAAUUUGAUUUCCAUAGAAAUUAUGCUGCAUGCGACAGCUCAAAAGCUCUCAACUCAUAAACUGGCAAAUGCAUGACUAGCUCCGGCUAGUCUCCAAAGCUUUAUAAAAUAGAGCCUCUCAGGCUAAAAUACAAAUAUAUAUGUAUGUAUCUACACUCGUCCAUACUCCUUGUAUGAAUUCUUAUGAAAAUAUAAGAAAAAUAGAAGUUCAUACAAGGCUACUACGCUUGCGUCCAACGCUCACGUCACACCAUAAUGCGGUUAUAUACUACGCCAUUAAGGUGGACAGACACAUAUGGCUAGCUAGCAUUUAUAUACAUACUCUCCUCAUAAAUAUCCUUAUACAUAUCCACCGAAAAUCUCAUUUUCGGUAACUCUCCAAAAUAAUGAAAAUUGCCAAUUACAAAAGAAGCUAUAAAUGUAUGGCCCCACCGAAAAAUCCUAUUUUGUAUGGCCUCAUCGAUCACAACACAAAAACAAAUGAUUCUUCAUCCAUACAAUCCUCAUUCACUUCCUCUCUACACAACUUCUCACCAUAAAUCACUAAGGGCACCCAAAAAUGGGUUUCCAUAAAUAUAAGUUUCCAAAACGGGAAAGUCUCCCUAAAUAGAAACUUUCCUAACAUGGUAGAUUUUACUAAACCAGAAACUACGACUUGAAUUAGAAAGAAUAACCUCGAGAACUACCUUCUUGGCUCUCUGCCGGAUCUGCUGCUUCGCUAUAACCCUCACUGGAUUUCGGUGACCUGCCGGAAUAGUUCGCCGGAUUCCGGCGACUUGCUAGAAUUUGGCCAUAGCCUCCCCGCAAACUCCAAAUCACCAAGUUAUCAACAACAACAACCAAAACAUUCACAUUAGCAGCCAUACUCCAAUUUUCUCAAACCCUAAUCAACACAGCAGCAACCCAACAACUCUAGAUGCAAGAAGAUUACCUUCAAAUGACAGCAAACCUUCUCCUGCCGGCAGUGGCUCUCUUGUCGGAUUCCGGGUUCGUGGUUCCUCUCAUAAAGCAGCAGCAACACCUCAAGUCUCCACACACGAUCGUUUUUGGCCUCUUGGAGCUCAGUAGGUCGUCGGGAAGGAGACAAGAGGUACCAUGAAGCCUCAUCGGCUUCAGCAAAACCCGGAGCACUCGCCGGAAACCAUCGGACGCGGGAAGAAAGGGGUUUCCAGGUUAGGGUUCGAUUCGCACAUUAAAUGACAUAGAAUGGGAGAGGGAAGUGAGGAGAACAAGAAUAUACCCUUCAAUGCCGCUUCCUCCGUUGGAGCUCGCCGAAAUGCGGCACAAACAGUGAAGUAUCCAUGCUUUCGAUCUCCCUCGAUUUCAGUCACACAUGCGAUCCACAGCUGGGCUAGAAAGGAGAGAAGGAAAGGAAGAGAACAGCUGACACGACCCACCCUGAAUUUCACCCUGAAACCCGGAGUAAGUCGUGCGGGGACCACCUCCAAGGAAAAUUUACUGAAAAGAUUAAGAAAAUCUCCCUUGCAGAUGGACAACCCUAACUCAAAAAUUUCAUAUUACACUCUUAAUUCAACAUUCAAUAUACAAUAAUCUCAAAGUAUUCAGAGCUACUAAACACAAGCGGAAGUAAGAAGACACGAGUAGGUUGAACAGGUAACCUACCGACGAAAACUGGCAGAAAUGCGGGUGACUAUGCCUCGUCUCCUACUAGAUCCAACCCGAACUCUGCAGACUGGGCAAUUUAAAAUGAAGGGCCCAGGGGAAAACAUUUAAUAACGUUAAAGUGAGUGGACAAAAAAAUAAAAUAAAAUAAUAAAUAAAAUAUUUAUGUUUCCCCAAAUUAAUUUCUAAGGAAAAAUCGAAUGCAUGCCGCAAGCGAUAAAACUUUUAUCCCAUAAAAUAUCGAGCCUCUCAGACUCUAUAAUAUAUGUAUGUAUUUACACUCGUCCAUACUCCCUAUAUAAAUUCAUAGGUCUAUAUAGGGCUACUACGCUCGCGUCCAACGCUCACGUCACGCCUUAAUGCGGUGCUACACUACGCCAUCAAGGUGGACAGACGGGUGUAUAAAUAUGUGUCCAUACCCCCUAUACGAAUUAAACACUCAAAUAGGGCUACUACGCUUACGUCCAACGCUCACGUCACACCAUAAUGCGGCUAUAUGCUACGCCAUUAAGGUGGACAGACACAUAUGGCUAGCUAGCAUUUAUAUACAUACUCUCUCAUAAAUACAUAUUAAUAUCCACCGAAAAUCCCAUUUUCAGUAGCUCUCCAAGAGAAAAUAAAAAUCGUCAAAUUAAAAUGACGUUAAAAUAUUCCGUAACAUUAAUUGUUCAACCAUGAACUAUAGCAUGCAUUUAUUUAAAAUAAACGUCCACUCACAAAUUAGGCCUAAGCCUGCUGUCGAUCUGGGGCCUCGUCUGCUCGAGUCUCCUCACGUCCUGUUCCAAAUAUAAUAUUAAUUUCCCAACCAAUAAUCAAAUAUUUAAUCAAAAUAGGCAAAAUUACCCGAGAGCCAUAAAUAUGCUCAUCAUUGCCUAACUUCGAUAUUCUUAAAUCGGAACGAUCCGAACUUAAAUAUCAUACUCAAUAGUCGUAAAUACAACCUCUCCAAAAUACGACUUAAAUCCUACGGCCAGAUUCUACAUUAAUUAACCGCCAAAAAUACCAAACUUCGGAAAUUCACAAACCUAUCCAAAUCUCAUCCAAAAAUUCCAUAAAUCACAUCAAUAUACUCCUCUUAAUAUUCCACACUUAAAACCCUAAAAAUCUCCUAACCGGCGGCGGCGCCGGCGGCGGCUCUGCGGGCAGCGGCGGCCGGAGGCCAAUUCCGGCGACCUCCAAAACCUAUGAAAUUUUGACAGAAUAAUCCUCUCAUCAAGCUCUACAACUUUCCUAACUAGCACAAACACCAAUUCCAAGCCUAACUAGGGUAAUCGACUAAAAACAUCAAAAACGCCAUAAAACUUCCACCUCAAAUUUCUCCUUACCUAGCUCAAGAGGGAGUGAGUCCUUUUAGGGCAAGGCUGCUGGGUUGGAGGGCUACAAAACCGUACCAAGCUUGCCCGGAUUGGUGGCCGGAGGAGGAAGUUCCGGCGACGUGAUCCCUAACACAGUCGGACCUCUCGGGCCCGAUAUCUCCCUCACGGCGGCGCUAGGGGAGCUGUCACCGAUCCAAGAAGGUUGCUGGGUUGAAGACCGAUCGAUUGGGACUGGUGCGGCGGUCUGGGGCGGCCGGACGGCGGCGGUCUGGCGGUCGAAAAACGGGACAGCGGGAGGGCUCGGGUGCGGGAGCGGGUGAGGAGAGAAAAUCGGGAGGAAAAAGAAUGGGUUUGGGCCUCACACCCCAAACCGGUCCAUCACUUAUAAACUAUCCAAAUUCUAAAAUUAAACACCCCGAAAAAUAAUACCUGAAUAAAAAUUACCUUUUACUAGCUAAAAUUUACCAUUUUUACCGUCGUCGUAUUUUCCUCAUACGAAUAAUCCUCCGCACAUAAUCGUCCCCAAAACCCCUCUAGGGACCAAUUAAACUAUUUACUCAAUGAUCGAGACGGUAAAAUUCUUAUUAUAAUCAGGCUAGUAAAUAAGGUAAAAAUAUAAGGGUCGGGAUGUGACAACAGCGGUGAUCUCGUCGCCUGGGGUGGCCGGACGGCGGCACUCCGGUGUGGAGAAGACGAAGAAGAGAAAGAGAGAGAGAGAGAGAAACUCGGUUGGGCUCGGUCAAACCCGACUUGGCUCUUUGACUGGGUCUGACCAGUCUUCCUUUAUUUAACAACAAAAAAUGGACAGUAGGUGAUCGAUGAUUAAAGAUCAACAACCCAUAUUCUUUGAUAAAUCGUAGAAAAAAACCCGAAGCUCCCAAAAAUAAUUCGAGGACAACAGAGAACUCGUGUCGACGCACACUAUGACCUAGGAGCCUUAAAAGAAGAAUUAAACAUUUUGAGAAAAACUCGACAAUAAACUCGAGUGUUAAAUUACCAAAUUACCGAGCACGGUUCAAUUCCUCAGUAACUCGUGGAAUACCUAGUAAAUAGAUAAAAUUGGGUCCGGGAUGUUACACCCGAGCCUGGGAGGCUCACUUGUAUGGCUAUAGUUGGUUCUUAUUUAAUAUUUAUUGUCUUGACUAGCGGGGCUAGUCCAUCUUUUCGAUAUUUCAUUUUACAAAGGUCUUUAUGUACCUUUAAUGUUGUUUUUGACUAGCGGGGCUAGUCCAUUAUUUUGGUACAUUUCUUUUACGAAGGUUAUUAUUUAUUUUUGUCGUUAAUUUGACUAGCUGAGUCAGUCCGUUUUCUUGGGAUUUUUCUUUAUGAAAGUUUUAUCAACACUUGCAUGCAACGGAUUUCUUAAUUAUUGGAAAGUGGGAAAGUAAUUAAUUUUGGUUAGUUAUGUUGCGAUCAAGAUGGUUGAUUCCACAGCCGGUUUCAAGAUGCUCAGCUUUCUGGAUGCCUACUCAGGAUAUAACCAAAUCAAAAUGCACCCCACAGAUCAAGAACACACCACUUUUGUCACGGACAAGGGACUGUAUUGUUACGUGGUCAGGCCCUUUGGCCUGAAGAAUGCGGGAGCAACUUAUCAGAGGCAGGUCAAUGCCAUGUUUGAAGAAGAAAUUAGGGAAGUCAUGGAAGUCUAAGUGGAUGACAUGCUGGUCAAAAGCAAGGCAGCUGACGACCACAUUGCCAGCCUAGACAAAGUCUUCACUAAGCUCCUGGCCCACGGGAUGCGCCUCAACCCCCAAAAGUGUAUCUUGGCUGUUAGUGGCGAAAAGUUUUUGGGUUUCAUGGUCAGUGAAAGAGGCAUUGAAGCUAACCCAGAAAGAGUACAAGUCAUACUUGACAUGACGAUCCGAAGGACUCGGAAUGAGGUCCGAUGCCUCACGGGACGCUUGGUAGCCUUGGCUCGUUUCAUCUCCCGCCUCACAGACAAAUGCAACCCAUUCUUCCAACUACUAAAAACUCAGUACAAGGAGAAUGUGGCAUGGGGCCCGGAACAUGACGAUGCCUUCAACAAUAUCAAACCCUACCUUGCAGCAGUCCCUCUUCUCUCCAAGCCUGUCUCAGGAGAAGUACUUUACUUGUAUUUGGUUGUUUCCGCCACGGCCAUCAGCGCUGCUCUCACACACCAUGACCAUGACAAUGAGCUCCUUGUAUACUACUGUGGCAGAGGGUUCACGGAUCCCGAGACCCGGUACCCUGAUAUUGAGAAACUAGCUCUAACCCUCAUCAUAGCAGCCAGAAAACUCAGACAAUACUUCCAAGCUCACACCAUCCAUGUCCUAACCAAUCACCCUUUGCGGCAAAUACUCCAAAAGCCUGAAACUUCAGGGCGCAUGGUAAAAUGGGCAAUUGAACUGGGGAAUUUAACCUACAUUUCAAACUAAGAACAGCCAUAAAAGGACAGGCUACCGCGGAUUUCAUUGCUGAGUUCAUCCCCAUGAACCCAGACAAUCCAGACCCGGAAGCCCUCCCUCGGGACGCCAUCUGGGAACUCCACGUUGAUGGAUCCUCCAACAACAGGCUCAGUGGAGCAGGGAUAAUAAUCACAGACCCAGAAGGGAAUUCGUAUGAAUAUGCUCUCCGGUUUGAAUUCAAAGCAUCCAACAACAUAGCUGAAUACGAAGAUCUCAUAAUCGGCAUUCAGCUCUGUCGAGAACUUGGAGCCCUGCACAUCCACAUAUUCAGUGAUUCUCAGCUUGUGGUCAAUCAAGUGGCAGGAGACUUCAAGGCCAACCAAAACAACCUGAGAUCCUACAAAAGUCUAGCUAGCACCCUCCUACAACACUUCACAUCUUACAAACUCACACAAAUCCCAAGGGCCAAGAACUCCAAGGCAAAUGCUCUAGCAAGACUCGCCAUAGCCCCUCCCGAGUCCACGCCACCAGAUGUGCACAUAGAAAUCUUGGACAAGCCUAGUAUCUCGAAGGCUUAUUCCGAAAUCUUUGCCCUCGAAACGUCUAACUAAACCUCGUGGAUGGACCCAUAUGUGGCCUUCUAAUGGUACCUUGCCCCGGGGACAAACACGAGGCACAGCGGUUGCGCCACAAAGCUUCACUCUACCUGCUUAGAGGCAGGAAGCUAUACCACCGUGGUCAGUCGUGUCCCCUUUUAAGGUGCUUACCUACAGCAGAAGGGCACAAGGUGUUGAAAUCACUCCACAGUGGUGUCUGUGGAAACCAUGCGGGAGCUCGGAACCUCAUGUUCAAAACACUAAGAGCUGGAUACUAUUGGCCAACAUUAGAACAAGAUGCUAAGGCAGUUGUCCAAGCAUGCCUUCACUGCCACAAAUUUGCAAAUUUUGCCCACCGUCCUCUAGUUCCAUUAUCUGUCAUCAUUUCCCCAGUCCUUUUCAGCCAGUGAGGACUCAACUUCGUGGGACGGCUAUCCACAGCCCCGGGACAACUCAAAUUUACAAUUAUCAUUGUGGACUAUAACACGAAGUGGAUAGAGGCAGAACCCCUUGCCACAAUCACAACUGAAAAGGUGAUAAACUUUCUAUGACGCAAUUUAUACUGCCGGUUUGGGGUACCGCAAGCCAUCAUCACAGAUAAUGGAACACAAUUUGACAAUGACACAUUCAGAGAAUUCCUUUCUAAGCAAGGCACUGCAAUCUUCUAUGCCUCCCCAGCACACCCUCAGACCAAUGGCCAAGUGGAAGCCAUAAACAAGCUCAUCAAGCAAAAUCUGAAGAAACGCCUGGAAGAUGCUAAAGGGUUAUGGGCGGCUAAGCUCCCGGAAGUCCUCUGGACACUUCAUACCACCCCAACAACAGCUACAGGUGAAUCCCUAUACCUCUUGUCCUAUGGCACCGAGGCGGUGAUCCCUGUGGAAAUGGAGGUCCCGAGUGAACGUGUCACAGCAUACGAUCCCGAGACAAACGCCACGGGACUACGACUCAACAUGGACCUCCUCGAGGAACGCCGGGAUAGAGCACAUCUCAAGAAUGUCAACUACAAACAAAAAGUUGCCCGACACUACAACAAGACAGUUAUUUCCCGCCCUCUAAAGGUGGGUGACUGGGUCAUGAAAGAGGUCAUCCCUCACCCCACUGGACUCAAGGCAAAGUGGGAAGGCCCACUGGAGAUAGUCAAUGCCCCGAGACCAGCUACAUUCUAUCUCCGCGACACUGAUGGCCGAGUCUUACCUCGCCCUUGGAAUGCUCGCCACCUCCACCUCUACCCUGUUUAAAUAAUCAGCACUCCAAAGCCAACAUGGCAGCUAGCACUUCAUUACUUGUGUACUUUAGCCCGGUAGCGGCCCAAAUCAAAUGUACACCUUGCCCAUCAGCGGCCUAUCCUAAAUAAAGAUGCUAUGUUCUCUAUCUUUUUUAACAUACUGUCCCAAGAACACGACAUAAAAUAACAACACAAGAUAAACCACGAAUAAAGGCAUUUUAAGAUAGUGUCAGCCUAGACUCCUAGGCAAUCCAUAUAUAACAACUUGUUCAAAUGGCUAACCACGCCACCAAUAUUGUUUCCAAAGCAAAAAAGAAAUUAAAACCUAACAGGAACAACAAAGACUAAACAAAAAAAAAACAACUACUUCUCCCCGGAAGACGCCCCACUUGACUUGUUCACGCUCCCGCCACUCUUCGACCCACUGCCACGCCCACGGCUCUGGCUGAUGUUCACUGAAACCCUCUGACCAUAAGCAUGUUUAGAACGGUCACGAGAUAUCGGGGGGAGGGGGGGGGGGGGGCGGGGGGGCUCACGGAGACAUUAGGACUCACCAGGGAGCUCACCGGUGGCACCUCAGUAACAGGGGACUUGCUUGCUGGGAUCUUCUGCACUUCAAUACGAGGCGGUGCCACAACGCCCCGUGCUCAAAGGACAAAGGGUUCAACAAUAGAUGACGCAACCUGAGACACUGCCACUUGAGCGGACAGGGAUCCCUCGUGACGUAGAGCCCUUAAGGGAGAAGAGGCAACCAUAGUAAGCAGCCGAGGCGUGCCCACAGCAGCAACUUCUUUGGGCGUCGCAGAGGAGGUGGCACGCCAGGUCUCAUGCUGCUUUGCUAGCGACCGCGAGAUCUCGGCUUGCUUCCUUUGUUCCGGAGUCAUCUGCUCCUAAGCCUUCCUUGUUGCAUCCCUCUCGGUAUAAAACUUGCGCAUAGCAGCCUCAUUUAUCCAACCAGCUUGACAGCCAGUCUUGCUUAGCUCAUCCUGACCACGGUUAUAGGCACUCUUCAGUUGCUGCUUGUACAAGUCGCUUUUCUGGAACACCCUUCCCCAGCCCCGGCAGCUCUUGCACACUUCAACUUCCACACCUUCUCUUGCUCUGCCAAGGCAUGGUUCAACCUUGCCACCUCAGCCUCCAGAGAAACAACCUUGGCAGCAGCCACCUCCCCGGCUUCCACCUGCUUGUCUUUCUCUUGCAUACCUUCCUUCAGCUCAGCCACUUCCUUCCCAGAUGCAGCAGACUGGUCUCGGAAGACAGCUACAUCCUGCUCCAGCUGCUCCAGACGCUGUGAGAGGGCGUGAAUGUUAUCUUCGGCCUCCCUUAGCUGUUGGCAUUUAGCCUCAGCAUCACCCUGCAAAUGGGUAACCGCCCUCUCACUAGUAGCGUACAUAAGCAGUGUCGCCUGCAAACACGAACCAACACAUAAGUACAGAGAUAAAAAAAAAAAAAGACAAAAAGGGUAAUGCACACCAUGAACACUUACCCGAGCAACUUCUCCCUGGCAAGAGACACGCCAGCAAAGGGAUCAACCUCCUCCAGGGCAUUGAUUUCGCGAGACCGGUGACUCAUGUAAUACGCCAUUUGUGCCAAGUAAGACUGCACCUCCCCUGUCCCCUCCAACGCUUGAGUGAUCUCAGCCAGGCUCCUAGAACUCCCGGAAUACCCUUUCUUCGGGGAUCUUUUUGCUUGACCAUCACGAGACGACUCAACCCUCUCCUUCCUCUUCCGGGUCUUCGUCACGACAACCUCUUCGGAUUCUUGCCCAUGGGGUUCCACCUCCUCUACCACAAGGUCCUCGCCGCCAAUUUGGGGCUCAUCCACUUCUUCCAAAAAUCCAUCUUCCACCCCAACUGGUUCCGGAACAUGCUCUUCUCCCACUGGAACCUGCUCGUGGUUGUCCCCAGGGUCGCCACCCUCAGUCUCUGUCUCCUCGUCGUUCACCUCUUGGUCACCCAAGCCCAUUACUUUUGCCACCAAGGGAGGCACAUAACCAUAGUCCUCGUCCGCCAGGUUUAACCUCACAAAGUGAUCCUCACCCUCGCCAAACUCCACCUCCUACCCUUCACCAGUCUCUAGGUCGAUGUCGAACCGCUUGGAGUGAGCAGCCUCGGCAAGCAACCCCUCCAGAACAUCCUAGUCAGGGACAUUGUCGUAAGGCCCUUCCUUCUUCCGCGACCCACCGUUCCGAGGCAUCGUCACUGCAUCAGACAAAGUAAGGAUCAAAACACAGGCAAAAAGCGUCAACCUAUGAAACCACUCAAAAGAAAAAUAUAGACCCGGGGCCCGGGAAUAACCGAAAUAACUAUAUAUGCCAAGACGGCAUAUCCGGUACGAACUCCUACACUCGAAUGCCCACAGCACCCGGCGUAUCCGACACUCCAUCAGCUCGGUUAAUUUAUACUCUUGGGGCACUACACAAAGUCAGCAGUCAGCAGGGGCAGAACAGUACAAACAGAAAGAAAACACGAGACACAAAGCAUGGUACCUAUUUUUUGAAACGCCCCGGGUACUCGGAAAGGGUGUCCAUGCCACUCCUGCCACUACCCCCCGACAAGGAAACACUUUCGUCGCCAACUCUCGUUUGUUGAGGUGGGCAAGUCUUCCACCAAAAUCUUGAACUUCCCCCGGGACUUCAACGUCACACAACCCCGGCUGCCCUUCUUCGCACAAUACGCCAUGUGCCAACACGCGUUGAACUCCUCAAAAUUGGGGAACUCUUGCCCCAGAAGAUGAAAUAAUACCCUUGUCCCCAAUAUCUGCCUUAGCAUAUUUGGGGUAACUUGCCCUGGGGCGACAUGCAGACACGCAUAGGUGUACUACAGAAAAGUGGGUAGCGGGAACAUUAACCAACAUCUCAAUUAGUACUCAUAUACCAGGGUGAAAUUGUCCAAAGGAUCCCAUAACCUAACACCCUUGCCAAGGGGCCGCAACAAGACCUCCUUGGGGAUACUCUAGUUCUCCUGAAGUGUCUUCACCUCUGAUGACAUCAUACUCUCGCCAGGGGGAUCCCAGAACGAGUCGUCAUCUUCCCGAGAUCUCGCCAUGCUAAACUCUUCUACCUCCUGGAAGAGAGGGUCAGAUAAGGACACGUGAGACCCUGCAUCCGUAACAGGCCGGAAUGCCCUCCCCUAAGUCGAGCACAACCUCUGCCAUAAGAUAAUUCACUUCCUCCUCCGACCGGUGCAAGGUGUCCGAAUCAGGAUCAGUCGAGCUAGAGAGAACCACAAUCUCCUCGCUGGUCACCCACACCGGAUCUGUCAUACCCUACAUCCUCACAUGUUAGGCUCUCGCUACCUUAACCCUAACUAACCCAACAGAAAACCAAACCAAUCCCUUCAUUCUAAACCCUCUUUAAAAAAAAAUAAUAAUAAAAUAAAAUAAAAUUGCAACUGUUGCAAAAACUGCAGCACAAUCCCUACCAAUUCAAAACAAAACAAAAGUAGAACCCAGAGAAGGAAUUGACAAGAUCAUACCUCGAAAACUUGGAUAUGUGUAGUGGCAGUGAAGCUGGUUGCAAACAGCCGAGCGCUCACACCCGAUGGAUCGAGGAUGAAAUUGGACGUUCCCCAGGUUCGAUUCCACAGAUCGACGAAACACUUCUCCAGAAAAUUGCAAACCACUCUUUUAGCCCUAGUCCCUCGGUUUUCGAAAUGCAAACUCCCUCCUUCUGUUUUCUCCAGACCUAUUUAUAUGCAUUCAAUUAACAUCGACCGUUCAGAUCUCCCUCAUCUCAAUGGUCAGGGAAUAGCCAUGUCGACCACGAUCAAGCGGCGCAUUUAAGACGCGCCCCACGAUCCCAUGCACGUGCGUCAGUUACGCACACGUUAACAAAAAAAAAAACCAACGAAACCGUUACGACCUUAAAACUUGCCAUAAAUGACCACGUGUUCCUUAUAAACUGGCCAUUCAUUUAUGACAGACAUGAGAUAUGACGCAAAGGUUCGUACCGAGUUCUCGGAACAUAACCCCAGCCACCUCGCGACCCUCGCAUGGGGACUUGGGGACUCGGCACCAUGCCUCUAGCUCCCGGGUAAGACAUUCUUGGCAUAACUUGCGAAUAACUCCCCACCCAAGAGCUCUCUCGGACUGGGGACUUUAGGACUUGUUAAUACAUAGCCAAAACACUUGACCAUGCCGAGAAUGCAGCGUCAUUGCCCACUCGCCAGAGGUCAUUCCGGCCAAACCAUCACCGGUAAGACUUCUGUGGAUGCCCAAAGAGUGGGAUAUAACAGCAAUACACAUGCCAGACCCACUCUGCAACGGCUAAACACCCCCAAAAGGGGGAAAACUGAACAACACCAUGAAACAGUCCCACAUCGGGAACUAAUGACAAAACCUCCAAUACUAGCCUAUAAAACAGGCGCGAUGUCAUAUCCCGACCUUUAAAUUUUUACCUUAUUUACUAGCUUGGUUAUAAUAAGAAUUUUACCGUCUU
This 12659-nucleotide long non-coding RNA is filed under the name Fragaria vesca (wild strawberry). RNAcentral's name for it is "long non-coding RNA (FVES_LNC001808)". The record is from RNAcentral. Lineage: Eukaryota; Viridiplantae; Streptophyta; Magnoliopsida; Rosales; Rosaceae.